GAUGAACGCUGGCGGCGUGCCUAAUACAUGCAAGUCGAGCGAACGGACGAGAAGCUUGCUUCUCUGAUGUUAGCGGCGGACGGGUGAGUAACACGUGGAUAACCUACCUAUAAGACUGGGAUAACUUCGGGAAACCGGAGCUAAUACCGGAUAAUAUUUUGAACCGCAUGGUUCAAAAGUGAAAGACGGUCUUGCUGUCACUUAUAGAUGGAUCCGCGCUGCAUUAGCUAGUUGGUAAGGUAACGGCUUACCAAGGCAACGAUGCAUAGCCGACCUGAGAGGGUGAUCGGCCACACUGGAACUGAGACACGGUCCAGACUCCUACGGGAGGCAGUAGUAGGGAAUCUUCCGCAAUGGGCGAAAGCCUGACGGAGCAACGCCGCGUGAGUGAUGAAGGUCUUCGGAUCGUAAAACUCUGUUAUUAGGGAAGAACAUAUGUGUAAGUAACUGUGCACAUCUUGACGGUACCUAAUCAGAAAGCCACGGCUAACUACGUGCCAGCAGCCGCGGUAAUACGUAGGUGGCAAGCGUUAUCCGGAAUUAUUGGGCGUAAAGCGCGCGUAGGCGGUUUUUUAAGUCUGAUGUGAAAGCCCACGGCUCAACCGUGGAGGGUCAUUGGAAACUGGAAAACUUGAGUGCAGAAGAGGAAAGUGGAAUUCCAUGUGUAGCGGUGAAAUGCGCAGAGAUAUGGAGGAACACCAGUGGCGAAGGCGACUUUCUGGUCUGUAACUGACGCUGAUGUGCGAAAGCGUGGGGAUCAAACAGGAUUAGAUACCCUGGUAGUCCACGCCGUAAACGAUGAGUGCUAAGUGUUAGGGGGUUUCCGCCCCUUAGUGCUGCAGCUAACGCAUUAAGCACUCCACCUGGGGAGUACGACCGCAAGGUUGAAACUCAAAGGAAUUGACGGGGACCCGCACAAGCGGUGGAGCAUGUGGUUUAAUUCGAAGCAACGCGAAGAACCUUACCAAAUCUUGACAUCCUUUGACAACUCUAGAGAUAGAGCUUUCCCCUUCGGGGGACAAAGUGACAGGUGGUGCAUGGUUGUCGUCAGCUCGUGUCGUGAGAUGUUGGGUUAAGUCCCGCAACGAGCGCAACCCUUAAGCUUAGUUGCCAUCAUUAAGUUGGGCACUCUAAGUUGACUGCCGGUGACAAACCGGAGGAAGGUGGGGAUGACGUCAAAUCAUCAUGCCCCUUAUGAUUUGGGCUACACACGUGCUACAAUGGACAAUACAAAGGGCAGCGAAACCGCGAGGUCAAGCAAAUCCCAUAAAGUUGUUCUCAGUUCGGAUUGUAGUCUGCAACUCGACUACAUGAAGCUGGAAUCGCUAGUAAUCGUAGAUCAGCAUGCUACGGUGAAUACGUUCCCGGGUCU
This 1372-nucleotide ribosomal RNA is filed under the name uncultured bacterium. RNAcentral's name for it is "bacterial SSU rRNA". It matches the Rfam family "Bacterial small subunit ribosomal RNA", at positions 28 to 1381 of the family's 1533-position model. The record is from RNAcentral.